Long non-coding RNA from Esox lucius (northern pike), 2023 nucleotides. NCBI's taxonomy places the organism in Eukaryota, Metazoa, Chordata, Actinopteri, Esociformes, Esocidae. The record is from Ensembl.
CUCCAACAACCACUACGGAGUCUCCAACAACAAUUACAGAGGCUACAACCACAACUACAGCUGCUCCAACAACCACUACAGAGGCUCCAACAACGACUACCGAGGCUAUAACCACAACUACAGCUGCCCCAACUACAACUACAGCUGCUGCAACAACAACAACAGAGUCUCCAACAACAACGACUACAGAGGCUACAACCACAACUACAGCUGUCGCAACUACUACUACAGCUGUUCCAACAACUACAGAGUCUCCAACAACAACAACAGAGGCUACAACCACAACUACAGCUGUAGCAACAACAACAACAGAGUCUCCAACAACAACAAUAACAGAGGCUACAACCACAACCACAGCUGUCGCAACAACAACUACAGCAGCUCCGACAACCACUACAGAGGGUACAACAACCACUAUAGAGCCAACAACCACAACUACAGCUGCCCCAACUACAACUACAGUUGCUGCAACAACAACAACAGAGUCUCCAACAAUGACUACAGAGGCUACAACCACAACUAUAGCUGUCGGAACAACUACAACUACAGUUGCUGCAACAACAACAACAGAGUCUCCAACAACAACGACUACAGAGGCUACAACCACAACUACAGCUGUCGCAACUACUACUACAGCUGCUCCAACAACCACUACAGAGGCUACAACAACGACUACAGAGGCUACAACAAGAACUACAGCUGCCCCAACUACAACUACAGCUGCAGCAACAUCUACAGAGUCUCCAACAACAACUACAGUGGCUACAACCACAACUGCAGCUGUCGCAACUACUACUACAGCUACUCCAACAACCACUACAGAGGCUACAACAACGACUACAGAGGCUACAAUAACAACUACUGCUGCCCCAUCUACAACAGCAGCUGCUGCAACAACAACUACAGAGUCUCCAACAACAACGACUACAGAAGCUGCAACAACAACUACAGCUGUCGCAACUACUACUACAGCUGCUCCAACAACCACAACAGAGGCUACAACAACAACUACAGCUGCCCCAACUACAACUAAAGUUGCUGCAACAACAACAACAGAGUCUCCAACAACAACGACUACAGAGGCUACAACCACAACUACAGUUGUCGCAACUACUACUACAGCUGCUCCAACAACCACUACAGAGGCUACAACAACAACUACAGAGGCUACAACCACAACUAUAGCUGCCCCAACUACAACAACAGUUGCUGCAACAACAACUACAGAGUCUCCAACAACAACGACUACAGAAGCUACAACCACAACUACAGCUGCCCCAACUACAACAACAGCUGCUGCAACAACUACAGAGUCUCCAACAACAACGACUACAGAAGCUACAACAACAACUACAGCUGUCGCAACUACUACUACAGCUGCUCCAACAACCACUACAGAGGCUACAACAACGACUACAGAGGCUACAACAAGAACUACAGCUGCCCCAACUACAACUACAGCUGCAGCAACAUCUACAGAGUCUCCAACAACAACUACAGUGGCUACAACCACAACUGCAGCUGUCGCAACUACUACUACAGCUACUCCAACAACCACUACAGAGGCUACAACAACGACUACAGAGGCUACAAUAACAACUACUGCUGCCCCAUCUACAACAGCAGCUGCUGCAACAACAACUACAGAGUCUCCAACAACAACGACUACAGAAGCUGCAACAACAACUACAGCUGUCGCAACUACUACUACAGCUGCUCCAACAACCACUACAGAGGUUACAACAACAACUACAGCUGCCCCAACUACAACUACAGUUGCUGCAACAACAACAACAGAGUCUCCAACAACAACGACUACAGAGGCUACAACCACAACUACAGCUGUCGCAACUACUACUACAGCUGCUCCAACAACCACUACAGAGGCUACAACAACAACUACAGAGGCUACAACCACAAAUAUAGCUGCCCCAACUACAACAACAGUUGCUGCAACAACAACUACAGAGUCUCCAACAACAACGACUACAGAAGCUACAACAACAACUACAGCUGUCACAAC